UUCUGCCUUCUGUAGUGGGAUGAUGCAGCAAGAAGACCCUUACCAGAUGCAGGCCCCUCAACCUUCGACUUCCUAACAUCCAGAACUAGCCACCUAAGCUGAAGAUUCCCUUGAGAACAAGUACUGUCCUGCGGUUUCAUGGCCUUUCUUCCAUUUGUGGUUCUUGCGAAGUGGAAUUUAAAUGACAUCUUAUCAAGAUCGAUAAAUACUAGUUUCCCAGUGCUGGAAUAUAGAAAAUGGAUGGACAAGUAAAUCCCACUCAGCACCCAUAGUCCAGGCAUGGGGACCUCAACACACCUGAGCCCCAAACAUCACCUUUCAUUCUGGACCUACCAUGAAAGACUUCUGAAUCCAGGAAGAGAAACUGACUGGGCAACAUGUUAUUCAGAAACAGGACCUUGCCCUGUCACUCAGGAUGGAGUUCAAUGGUCCUAUCAUGGCUCAUUAUAGCCUUAAACUCCCAGGCUCAAGCAAUCCUACCAUGUCAGCCUUCCCAGUAGCUGGGACUACAGGAAGUGACCUCACAAUGACUCAAGCUACCACAUACUGUUGAUUGUGAAAUGCCAGUUGAAGCAUAUGUCCUGCGAGCUUAGGGGUGCUACAAGUUGACCACUGCAGCAGUAAAGAUGACUCUGAAGAAUGGCAUGGGAUGGAUCCUUUCGAAUGCACUUGAGCAGCGGUCUCCAACCACAGGGCCACAGAGCUGGAGCUGGAUCUACCAUGAAAGACUUCUGAAUCCAGGAAGAGAGACUGACUGGGCAACAUGUUAUUCAGGGUCUCCCUCUGUUGUCCAAGGCUGGAGUGUAGUAGUGCUA
This 815-nucleotide long non-coding RNA is filed under the name Homo sapiens (human). RNAcentral describes it as "HSALNT0321724". The record is from RNAcentral. Lineage: Eukaryota; Metazoa; Chordata; Mammalia; Primates; Hominidae.